This 318-nucleotide ribosomal RNA is filed under the name uncultured Allantion. Its description in RNAcentral is "bacterial SSU rRNA". The stretch from base 101 to 318 matches the Rfam family "Eukaryotic small subunit ribosomal RNA", at positions 736 to 955 of the family's 1831-position model. Lineage: Eukaryota; Cercozoa; Glissomonadida. The record is from RNAcentral.
GAUUUCUGAUACGAUGCGCCUGGCCCGGCUCGCAAGAGUUCGAGUGCCGGUAGCGCGUCUAUCAUCCUUCUCGACGGAGAGGUCAGCUGUAAAAGGCUGAUCGCCGCUGAGAUCUUUUACUUUGAAAAAAUUAGAGUGUUUAAAGCAGGCUUACGCCUUGAAUACAUUAGCAUGGAAUAAUAAUAUAGGACUUGAGUCUUAUUUUGUUGGUUUCUAAGAUUUAAGUAAUGAUUGAUAGGGAUAGUUGGGGGUGCUAGUAUUCAGCGGCCAGAGGUGAAAUUCUUUGAUUCGCUGAAGACUAACUUAUGCGAAAGCAUU